Molecule: ribosomal RNA, 497 nt
Filed under: uncultured bacterium
Lineage: Bacteria
Description: partial 16S ribosomal RNA
Rfam family: Bacterial small subunit ribosomal RNA
Source: RNAcentral
GAUGAACGCUGGCGGCGUGCCUAAUACAUGCAAGUCGAGCGAACAGACGAGGAGCUUGCCCCCCUGACGUUAGCGGCGGACGGGUGAGUAACACGUGGAUAACCUCCCUAUAAGACUGGGAUAACUUCGGGAAACAGGAGCUAAUACCGGAUAAUAUAUUGAACCGCAUGGUUCAAUAGUGAAAGACGGUUUUGCUGUCUCUUAUAGAUGGAUCCGCGCCGCAUUAGCUAGUUGGUAAGGUAACGGCUUACCAAGGGAACGAUGGGUGGCCGACCUGAGAGGGGGAUCGCCCACACUGGACCUGGGCCACGCCCCGGCCUCCUCCGGAGGGCACCGGUAGGGAUUCUUCCGCAAUGGGCGAAGGCCUGACGGGGCACCGCCGCGUAGGUGAUGAAGGUCUUCGGAUCGUAAGACUCUGUUAUUAGGGAGGAACAAAUGUGUAAGUAACUAUACACGUAUUGACGGUACCUGAUCAGAAAGCCACGGCUAACUACGUG